Molecule: ribosomal RNA, 2700 nt
Filed under: Triticum aestivum (bread wheat)
Lineage: Eukaryota; Viridiplantae; Streptophyta; Magnoliopsida; Poales; Poaceae
Description: partial small subunit ribosomal RNA
Source: RNAcentral
AUGAUGUGUUCUCCCCUACCACCCUCACCCCGCAAUCCAAACACAAACGCGAGCACAUCUGACACAAAUAUCUUCCCUAGACCCCCUCCACCCUCCAAUACUUGGUUCACCCAAGAUGCGCUUCUUGGUUUCGAGCAGGAGAGGACAAGUUCUGAAGGAAGCUUUACCUGUAUGGAAGGUGGGGACGCCCCGCCAGGCAUCUCCAUGGGGCGCUCCAUGUCCUCGGAAGGCGACCUGGACCUCCUGGAGCAGCUGCUCUCCGGCGACAACGCCUGGCUUGAAGUGGCGCCCAACACUUCUCGCUCACCCAAUUUUUUUGCUUCUCCCUCCACCUUCCUCUCAGAUGCCACAGCCACCACCACCACGACGCCGGCAGGCGCAAACAGCACCCUGUGGAUUCCGCCAGCCUCCUCCACCGUCCGGCAAAGGUUUGAGCAAGCUCUGGAUUACAUCAAGCAGAUGCAGAGAGAUGCCGGCAUGCUUGUGCAGCUAUGGGUGCCGCAAAAAAACCGUGAUGGCAAGUUGGUGCUGACAACGAGCGGGCAGCCAUUUACUCUGGACAACACCUCAGAUAGACUCAUGCAGUUCAGGGACGUGUCGACGCAUUACCACUUCUCUGCAGAUGUUGGGUCGGAAGCCUCACCGGUUGGGCUCCCCGGGAGGGUGUUCAUUGGCAAGCUACCUGAGUGGUCACCGGACGUUCGGCUCUUCACCAGCUAUGAAUACCCCAGGGUAAAAUAUGCUCAGGAUUUGGACGUCCAUGGGACAAUGGGGCUGCCGGUGUUCGAGAAGGGGAGUUACUCGUGCUUGGGUGUCAUGGAAUUGAUCAUGACCAGGCAAAAGCUCAACUUCACCUCAGAGAUCAACGACAUCUGCAGGGCUCUCCAGGCAGUUAACCUGAGAAGCACAGAAGUUUCAAGCACUCCGCGCGCCACAAAGUUCAACAGUGCUUCCUACAAAGAUGCUCUACCAGAGAUACUAGAAGUCCUAAGGGCAGCCUGCGUCACCCACAAUCUCCCAUUAGCUCAGACCUGGGUCACAUGUGCUCAACAAGGGAAAGGGGGAAGCCGCCACACCGAUGAGAACUACCCGUACUGCAUCUCCACCAUUGACACAGCAUGCUACGUCAAUGAUCCCCAGAUGCAGAACUUCCAUGACUCCUGCUCUGACCACCACCUUCUGCGUGGGCAAGGAGUUGCAGGGAAAGCCUUCGAAACGAACCAGCCAUGCUUCUUACCAGACAUUGGAUCUUCAGCUAAAGAACACUAUCCAUUAUCCCACCAUGCUAAGAUCUUCAACUUAAAAGGUGCCGUGGCAAUCCGGUUGAGGUGCACGCGGACUGGGACAGCGGACUUUGUGCUAGAGUUCUUUCUGCCGACCAACUGUGAAGCCCUCGAGGAGCAAAAGGCAGUCCUGGACUCCUUGUCAGGCACCAUGCGUAGUGCUUGCCGAACUCUACGUGUGGUUACGGACAAGGAGAUUGGGGAUGAGGAAAUGCUGGAAGUGAAUGAGCUGAACUCAUUUGGUCCUCAAGGGAAGAAUAAGGUUGAAGAGUUGUCCUUUGGAAACCAAGCAACAGAACAUAGAGAGGAGGCAUCAUGGACAAGUCUAGCAAGGACUUCAAAAGAAUCAGAUUUAGCUGAAUUAAGUAUGCAUGGUAUGCUAUCACCUGUAGGACAGGGUCUAUCUCCAGCUGGUGCUCAGACAAGUGCACAAGGCAGCAAAGGGAAAAGGCGCACAAAGACGGAGAAGACUGUGAGCUUGCCGGUUCUUCGGCAGUACUUUGCUGGUAGCCUGAAAGAUGCAGCAAGGAGCCUUGGAGUGUGCCCUACCACCCUCAAAAGAAUAUGCAGGCAGCAUGGUAUAAAUCGCUGGCCAUCACGAAAGAUCAAGAAGGUAGACCAUUCUCUAAGAAAGCUGCAGCAGAUCAUUGAUUCAGUUCACGGAGGAGAGACAGCUUUCCAGCUUAAUACCCUGUACAAGGAUCUCACAAACACCUCUGUAUCAUCUGACAACAAUUUGUCAGGAAGCGUCACAGUUCCUCCACACAAGCAGAGCAAUCUCACUGAUUUUGAGGGGCACCGACACCACAGGCUAAGCAGUAAUGUGCCAUCAACCUCACACUCACACUCAUCAUGCAGCCAAAGUUCUGAUUCAAGCCCGUCAUCGUGCAGUGGUGGAUCAACAAAGCAUCCACCUCAGGCUGGAGUUGAUUUGCUUAUGUCAGGAAAUCCUGUAAAUCACAGCCCUGUCCAGACUCUGCAAACAGAAAAUGCAUCAAUAAGAGGACAUUUCCCAGUUCAGGAGGCACCAGAUCUGUUGCAUAAUCUGAACCAACAGGCUUUAGGUGGGCAGCAUUCUUCUCGAAGCCCAUCACCCCCAAAACAGAAUGCAGAUGCAGGUAUGAGAAUAAAGGCCACAUUUGGCUCAGAAAAGGUCAGGUUCAGAUUGAAGCCUGAGUGUAGUUUUCAAGAACUGAAGCAGGAGAUGGCAAGACGUUUGAGUAUAGUAGACACAAGCUUUUUGAUUGUAAAGUACCUGGAUGAUGAUUUAGAGUGGGUCUUGAUGACAUGCGAUGCAGAUUUACAGGAAUGCCUUCAUGUAUAUAAACUAGCAAAUCUCCAAACAGUCAAAAUUUCAGUUCAUCUAGCUCCUAUUCCGGAGGCAAGGGUCACUAUUGGUCACACUGGUUUGUCAUAA